This 439-nucleotide ribosomal RNA is filed under the name uncultured bacterium. Its description in RNAcentral is "partial 16S ribosomal RNA". It matches the Rfam family "Bacterial small subunit ribosomal RNA", at positions 339 to 795 of the family's 1533-position model. The record is from RNAcentral.
CUACGGGUUGCUGCAGUGAGGAAUAUUGCACAAUGGGGGGAACCCUGAUGCAGCAACGCCGCGUGGAGGAUGACGCAUUUCGGUGUGUAAACUCCUUUUAUAUGUCAAGAAAAUGACGGUAGCAUAUGAAUAAGCACCGGCUAACUCCGUGCCAGCAGCCGCGGUAAUACGGAGGGUGCAAGCGUUACUCGGAAUCACUGGGCGUAAAGGACGCGUAGGCGGGUUGGAAAGUCAGGUGUGAAAUCCUACAGUUGAACUGUAGAACUGCACUUGAAACUUCUAAUCUAGAGUAUGGGAGGGGGAGAUGGAAUUAGGUGUGUAGGGGUAAAAUCCGUAGAGAUCACUAGGAAUACCUAAAGCGAAGGCGAUCUCCUGGAACAUUACUGACGCUAAGGCGUGAAAGCGUGGGGAGCAAACAGGAUUAGAUACCCGUGUAGUC